GACGAACGCUGGCGGCGUGCUUAACACAUGCAAGUCGAACGAAGAGCGAUGGAAGCUUGCUUCUAUCAAUCUUAGUGGCGAACGGGUGAGUAACGCGUAAUCAACCUGCCCUUCAGAGGGGGACAACAGUUGGAAACGACUGCUAAUACCGCAUACGAUCUAAUCUCGGCAUCGAGGAUAGAUGAAAGGUGGCCUCUACAUGUAAGCUAUCACUGAAGGAGGGGAUUGCGUCUGAUUAGCUAGUUGGAGGGGUAACGGCCCACCAAGGCGAUGAUCAGUAGCCGGUCUGAGAGGAUGAACGGCCACAUUGGGACUGAGACACGGCCCAGACUCCUACGGGAGGCAGCAGUGGGGAAUCUUCCGCAAUGGACGAAAGUCUGACGGAGCAACGCCGCGUGAGUGAUGACGGCCUUCGGGUUGUAAAGCUCUGUUAAUCGGGACGAAAGGCCUUCUUGCGAAUAAUGAGAAGGAUGAC
Molecule: ribosomal RNA, 475 nt
Filed under: Veillonella parvula
Lineage: Bacteria; Bacillati; Bacillota; Negativicutes; Veillonellales; Veillonellaceae
Description: bacterial SSU rRNA
Rfam family: Bacterial small subunit ribosomal RNA
Source: RNAcentral